CUAGCCCAGAUUGAUGCGGCAUCCUUUUUUUCUAUUAAGAGCAAAAAAGAUAUAGCGGAAAGCUGGAAAAAG
RNAcentral lists this small RNA (72 nucleotides) under marine eukaryotic metagenome. Its description in RNAcentral is "Flavo-1 RNA". It matches the Rfam family "Flavo-1 RNA". The record is from RNAcentral.